AUUGCCUUAGUACGGCGAGUGAAGCGGCAAAAGCUCAAAUUUGAAAUCUGGUACCUUUGGUGCCCGAGUUGUAAUUUGGAGAGUACCACUUUGGGACUGUACUUUGCCUAUGUUCCUUGGAACAGGACGUCAUGGAGGGUGAGAAUCCCGUGUGGCGAGGGUGUCAGUUCUUUGUAAAGGGUGCUCGAAGAGUCGAGUUGUUUGGGAAUGCAGCUCUAAGUGGGUGGUAAAUUCCAUCUAAAGCUAAAUACAGGCGAGAGACCGAUAGCGAACAAGUACAGUGAUGGAAAGAUGAAAAGAACUUUGAAAAGAGAGUGAAAAAGUACGUGAAAUUGUUGAAAGGGAAGGGCAUUUGAUCAGACAUGGUGUUUUGCGCCCCUUGCCUCUCGUGGGCUUGGGACUCUCGCAGCUCACUGGGCC
RNAcentral lists this ribosomal RNA (420 nucleotides) under Nakaseomyces glabratus. Its description in RNAcentral is "eukaryotic LSU rRNA". It matches the Rfam family "Eukaryotic large subunit ribosomal RNA", at positions 74 to 492 of the family's 3401-position model. The record is from RNAcentral. Lineage: Eukaryota; Fungi; Ascomycota; Saccharomycetes; Saccharomycetales; Saccharomycetaceae.